This 204-nucleotide long non-coding RNA is filed under the name Sorghum bicolor (sorghum). RNAcentral describes it as "long non-coding RNA (SBIC_LNC000610)". Lineage: Eukaryota; Viridiplantae; Streptophyta; Magnoliopsida; Poales; Poaceae. The record is from RNAcentral.
UGGGCCAGGAGCGAAAAGUGUCCUUCCACAGAUCUAAGGAAAAGUUUUCGGCUCUAAAAGGGAUCCUGUUUGUUUCUGCGUUAAUCAAAUCUGUGGGAUCUGGAUUCCCUAAUGGACCAAGGCAUUGGAGGUGCGGCUGAUCGGUAGGGAUGAUUAGUUUGUUGGACAGAUCCUGUUGGUUUUAGGGAUGAAAAGAAGGAUAAG